UGGGGAAUAUUGCACAAUGGGGGAAACCCUGAUCCAGCCAUGCCGCGUGAGUGAUGAAGGCCUUAGGGUCGUAAAGCUCUUUCGCCUGUGAAGAUAAUGACGGUAGCAGGUAAAGAAACCCCGGCUAACUCCGUGCCAGCAGCCGCGGUAAUACGGAGGGGGUUAGCGUUGUUCGGAAUUACUGGGCGUAAAGCGCACGUAGGCGGACCAGAAAGUUGGGGGUGAAAUCCCGGGGGCUCAACCCCGGAACUGCCUCCAAAACUAUUGGUCUAGAGUUCGAGAGAGGUGAGUGGAAUUCCAAGUGUAGAGGUGAAAUUCGUAGAUAUUUGGAGGAACACCAGUGGCGAAGGCGGCUCACUGGCUCGAUACUGACGCUGAGGUGCGAAAGUGUGGGGAGCAAACAGGAUUAGAUACCCUGGGUAGUCCACACCGUAAAACGAUGAAUGCCAGUCGUCGGGUAGCAUGCUAUUCGGUGACACACCU
This 483-nucleotide ribosomal RNA is filed under the name uncultured bacterium. RNAcentral describes it as "bacterial SSU rRNA". It matches the Rfam family "Bacterial small subunit ribosomal RNA", at positions 355 to 853 of the family's 1533-position model. The record is from RNAcentral.